Molecule: ribosomal RNA, 430 nt
Filed under: Fusobacteriota bacterium
Lineage: Bacteria; Fusobacteriati; Fusobacteriota
Description: Fusobacteria bacterium partial 16S ribosomal RNA
Rfam family: Bacterial small subunit ribosomal RNA
Source: RNAcentral
UGGGGAAUCUUGCGCAAUGGGCGAAAGCCUGACGCAGCAACGCCGCGUGGAGGAUGAAGGCCCUUGGGUUGUAAACUCCUGUCGGCUGGGAAGAAAUCGUUCGGAGCUAAUACCUCCGGACGUUGACUGUACCAGCAAAGGAAGCCCCGGCUAACUCUGUGCCAGCAGCCGCGGUAAUACAGAGGGGGCCAGCGUUAUUCGGAAUUAUUGGGCGUAAAGGGCGCGUAGGCGGCCACGCGUGUCUUUCGUGAAAUCCCUCGGCUUAACUGAGGACGUGCGGAAGAAACUGCGAGGCUCGAGUCCGGGAGAGGGGGGUGGAAUUCCCAGUGUAGCGGUGAAAUGCGUAGAUAUUGGGAGGAACACCGGUGGCGAAGGCGGCCCCCUGGACCGGUACUGACGCUGAGGCGCGAAAGCGUGGGGAGCAAACGGG